AUUGAACGCUGGCGGCAGGCCUAACACAUGCAAGUCGAACGAGUGGCGGACGGGUGAGUAAUGUCUGGGAAACUGCCCGAUGGAGGGGGAUAACUACUGGAAACGGUAGCUAAUACCGCAUACCAUCGGAUGUGCCCAGAUGGGAUUAGCUAGUAGGUGGGGUAACGGCUCACCUAGGCGACGAUCCCUAGCUGGUCUGAGAGGAUGACCAGCCACGCGGGAACUGAGACACGGUCCAAAAUCCUACGGGAGGGAGCAGUGGGGAAUAUUGCACAGUGGGCGCAAGCCUGAUGCAGCGAUGCCGCGUGUAUGAAGAAGGAAUUCGGGUUUUAAAGUACUUUCGGCGUGGAGGCGUUACUCGCAGAAGAUGCACCGGCUGACGCCGUGCCAGCAGCCGCGGUAAUUC
RNAcentral lists this ribosomal RNA (406 nucleotides) under uncultured bacterium. Its description in RNAcentral is "partial 16S ribosomal RNA". It matches the Rfam family "Bacterial small subunit ribosomal RNA", at positions 30 to 526 of the family's 1533-position model. The record is from RNAcentral.